Molecule: long non-coding RNA, 498 nt
Filed under: Trifolium pratense (red clover)
Lineage: Eukaryota; Viridiplantae; Streptophyta; Magnoliopsida; Fabales; Fabaceae
Description: long non-coding RNA (TPRA_LNC013123)
Source: RNAcentral
UAGAUAUUACGUGUGAGACCAUCUUAAUUCUUGAAAACUCCCCUACCAAAACAUUGUCCAAUGUCUGAUACUAUCACAUGCCUUUGUCACAUACUAUCAUAUUUUCAAUUAAAAUUAAAUUGUUUUCUCUUUCAUGAAGCACGUGUACUAUAUCCAAGUAAAAUAAGAGUGGUACUCCUUCAUCUUUCACACGCCAAAGCAAAAGCUAAAAACAACAGGAGUUGCAAACACUGAAACUUGAAUGUUGCAGUUAUGGCGGAGACGGUGUGGAACUAUGGAAGCAAGCAAAAGCACGAUUCGGAGAAGAACAACAACCUCCUCAUGCAAGAGAUACAAACCGAACCAAACCAUCCGAGUCAACCGCUUUACCGUUGAACCCGCCACCCGUCGGAACCGACGUUGAAACGGUCGGAAAUGACUGGAGUUUUAUGCAUUACGGUUGACUAUCGGUGAGUAAUUUCUGGCCCGAACCCGGCCGUAACCGACCGAUGCACACCC